Molecule: ribosomal RNA, 459 nt
Filed under: uncultured bacterium
Lineage: Bacteria
Description: partial 16S ribosomal RNA
Rfam family: Bacterial small subunit ribosomal RNA
Source: RNAcentral
CCUACGGGGGGCUGCAGUGAGGAAUAUUGGUCAAUGGGAGAGAUCCUGAACCAGCCAAGCCGCGUGAGGGAAGACGGCCCUAUGGGUUGUAAACCUCUUUUGUCGGAGAACAAAACCCGGGACGUGUCCCGGACUGCGUGUAUCCGAAGAAAAAGCAUCGGCUAACUCCGUGCCAGCAGCCGCGGUAAUACGGGGGAUGCGAGCGUUAUCCGGAUUUAUUGGGUUUAAAGGGUGCGUAGGCGGUCCGUUAAGUCAGCGGUAAAAUUGCGGGGCUCAACCCCGUCGAGCCGUUGAAACUGGCAGACUUGAGUUGGCGAGAGGUACGCGGAAUGCGCGGUGUAGCGGUGAAAUGCAUAGAUAUCGCGCAGAACCCCGAUUGCGAAGGCAGCCUGCCAAGCCAUGACUGACGCUGAUGCACGAAAGCGUGGGGAUCAAACAGGAUUAGAUACCCCUGUAGUC